ACGCUGGCGGCGUGCUUAACACAUGCAAGUCGAACGAAGAGCGAUGGAAGCUUGCUUCUAUCAAUCUUAGUGGCGAACGGGUGAGUAACGCGUAAUCAACCUGCCCUUCAGAGGGGGACAACAGUUGGAAACGACUGCUAAUACCGCAUACGAUCUAACCUCGGCAUCGAGGAUGGAUGAAAGGUGGCCUCUAUUUAUAAGCUAUCACUGAAGGAGGGGAUUGCGUCUGAUUAGCUAGUUGGAGGGGUAACGGCCCACCAAGGCGAUGAUCAGUAGCCGGUCUGAGAGGAUGAACGGCCACAUUGGGACUGAGACACGGCCCAGACUCCUACGGGAGGCAGCAGUGGGGAAUCUUCCGCAAUGGACGAAAGUCUGACGGAGCAACGCCGCGUGAGUGAUGACGGCCUUCGGGUUGUAAAGCUCUGUUAAUCGGGACGAAAGGUCUUCUUGCGAAUAGUUAGAAGAAUUGACGGUACCGGAAUAGAAAGCCACGGCUAACUACGUGCCAGCAGCCGCGGUAAUACGUAGGUGGCAAGCGUUGUCCGGAAUUAUUGGGCGUAAAGCGCGCGCAGGCGGAUUGGUCAGUCUGUCUUAAAAGUUCGGGGCUUAACCCCGUGAUGGGAUGGAAACUGCCAAUCUAGAGUAUCGGAGAGGAAAGUGGAAUUCCUAGUGUAGCGGUGAAAUGCGUAGAUAUUAGGAAGAACACCAGUGGCGAAGGCGACUUUCUGGACGAAAACUGACGCUGAGGCGCGAAAGCCAGGGGAGCGAACGGGAUUGGAUACCCCGGUAGUCCUGGCCGUAAACGAUGGGUACUAGGUGUAGGAGGUAUCGACCCCUUCUGUGCCGGAGUUAACGCAAUAAGUACCCCGCCUGGGGAGUACGACCGCAAGGUUGAAACUCAAAGGAAUUGACGGGGGCCCGCACAAGCGGU
RNAcentral lists this ribosomal RNA (931 nucleotides) under uncultured bacterium. RNAcentral describes it as "bacterial SSU rRNA". It matches the Rfam family "Bacterial small subunit ribosomal RNA", at positions 33 to 933 of the family's 1533-position model. The record is from RNAcentral.